CUACAAUGGCCGUAAACAGAGGGAAGCAAAGCCGCGAGGUGGAGCAAACCCCCAAAAGCGGUCCCAGUUCGGAUUGUAGGCUGCAACCCGCCUACNUGAAGUUGGAAUCGCUAGUAAUCGCGAAUCAGAAUGUCGCGGUGAAUACGUUCCCGGGUCUUGUACACACCGCCCGUCACACCAUGGGAGUCAGUAACGCCCGAAGUCAGUGACCCAACCGAAAGGAGGGAGCUGCCUAAGGCGGGACCGAUAACUGGGGUGAAGUCGUAACAAGGUAUC
RNAcentral lists this ribosomal RNA (276 nucleotides) under uncultured bacterium. RNAcentral's name for it is "partial 16S ribosomal RNA". It matches the Rfam family "Bacterial small subunit ribosomal RNA", at positions 1225 to 1500 of the family's 1533-position model. The record is from RNAcentral.